GAGCGGCGAACGGGUGAGUAACACGUGAGCAACCUGCCCCUGACUCUGGGAUAAGCCCGGGAAACUGGGUCUAAUACCGGAUACGACCGCCCCCGGCAUCGGGUGGUGGUGGAAAGUUUUUUCGGUUGGGGAUGGGCUCGCGGCCUAUCAGCUUGUUGGUGGGGUAGUGGCCUACCAAGGCGACGACGGGUAGCCGGCCUGAGAGGGCGACCGGCCACACUGGGACUGAGACACGGCCCAGACUCCUACGGGAGGCAGCAGUGGGGAAUAUUGCGCAAUGGGCGGAAGCCUGACGCAGCGACGCCGCGUGGGGGAUGACGGCCUUCGGGUUGUAAACCUCUUUCAGCAGGGACGAAGUUGACGUGUACCUGCAGAAGAAGCGCCGGCUAACUACGUGCCAGCAGCCGCGGUAAUACGUAGGGCGCAAGCGUUGUCCGGAAUUAUUGGGCGUAAAGAGCUCGUAGGUGGCUUGGUCGCGUCUGCCCGUGAAAGCCCGNAGCUUAACUGCGGGUCUGCGGUGGAUACGGNCCGGCUAGAGGUAGGUAGGGGCAAG
Molecule: ribosomal RNA, 553 nt
Filed under: Nonomuraea sp. 303F02
Lineage: Bacteria; Bacillati; Actinomycetota; Actinomycetes; Streptosporangiales; Streptosporangiaceae
Description: bacterial SSU rRNA
Rfam family: Bacterial small subunit ribosomal RNA
Source: RNAcentral